This 76-nucleotide transfer RNA is filed under the name Anguilla anguilla (European eel). RNAcentral's name for it is "tRNA-Val". It matches the Rfam family "tRNA". Rfam says of the family: Transfer RNA (tRNA) molecules are approximately 80 nucleotides in length. Their secondary structure includes four short double-helical elements and three loops (D, anti-codon, and T loops). Lineage: Eukaryota; Metazoa; Chordata; Actinopteri; Anguilliformes; Anguillidae. The record is from RNAcentral.
GUUUCUGUAGUGUAGCGGUUAUCACGUUUGCCUAACACGCAAAAGGUCCUCGGUUCGAAACAAUCGAGCAGAAACA